UACGUAGGGGGCGAGCGUUGUCCGGAUUUAUUGGGCGUAAAGAGCUCGUAGGCGGUUUGGCAAGUCGGGUGUGAAAACUCCGAGCUCAACUCGGAGACGCCACUCGAUACUGCCAUGACUCGAGUCCGGUAGGGGAGUGCGGAAUUCCUGGUGUAGCGGUGAAAUGCGCAGAUAUCAGGAGGAACACCAGUGGCGAAGGCGGCACUCUGGGCCGGUACUGACGCUGAGGAGCGAAAGCGUGGGGAGCGAACAGGAUUAGAUACCCCAGUAGUCC
Molecule: ribosomal RNA, 274 nt
Filed under: uncultured bacterium
Lineage: Bacteria
Description: partial 16S ribosomal RNA
Rfam family: Bacterial small subunit ribosomal RNA
Source: RNAcentral